CCUGCCAGUAGUCAUAUGCUUGUCUUAAAGAUUAAGCCAUGCAUGCCUAAGUAUAAACAUUUAUACUGUGAAGCUGCGGAAGGCUCAUUAAAACAGUAUUAAUCUACUUGAUGAUAUUUCCACUUGUGGACUUGGAUAACUGUAGUAAUUCUAGAGCUAAUACAUGCAAAAUACCCCGACUGGUAACGGAAGGGGCGUAUUUAACAAUUAUACCAAAGUCAUCAGGUAGGGAAACCUACCUUAAACAAGAGGAAUCAUGUUAACUGCACGAAUCGCAUGGCCUUGUGCCGGCGAUGCAUCAAGAGAGAUUCUGCUCUAUCAACUCUAUUGUAGUGUAUUGGACUACAAUGGUUUUGACGGGUACGGAGAAUUAGGGUUCGGUUCCGGAGAAGGAGCCUGAGAAACGGCUACUACUUCCAAGGAAGGCAGCAGGCGCGCAAAUUACCCAUUGGCGAAACGCCGAGGUAGUGACGAGAAAUAACAAUGUGGAGGCUGACAAAGCUUUCACAAUUGGAAUGAGAACAAUGUAAAUACCUUAACGAGUAACAAUUAGAGGGAAAGUCUGGUGCCAGCAGCCGCGGUAAUUCCAGCUCUAAUAGCGUAUACUAAAGUUGUUGCAGUUAAAAAGCUCGUAGUCGAAAUUCAGCCCAGGAGGGUCGUUCUGUUGGGAACAACAUGUUAUCGAUCUUCCUGGUGCUUCUAGCGGUUUGGUGGCUUCUGCUCUUAACUGAGUGGAGGUUUUUCGCCACCGCUCGUUUACUUUGAGAAAAUUAGAGUGUUCAAAGCAGGUUUCAUUUUAUGCCUUGCAUAGAUUAGCAUGGGAUAAUAAAAUAGGGCAUACCUAUCUAUUUUGUUGGCUUUGAGUGGGUGUGCAAUGAUUAAUAGGGACAAUGCGGGGUGGUUGGUAUUUUUACGAUAGAGGUGAAAUUCUUGGACCGUAGAAAGACUAACUUCUGCGAAAGCAUUCCACAAGUAUGUCUCCAUUGAUCAAGAACGAAAGUUAGGGGAUCGAAGACGAUCAGAUACCGUCGUAGUCCUGACUAUAAACUAUGCCGACCAGGGAUUGGGAGGUGUUUUAUCAUAUGACCCUACCAGAACCUUACGGGAAACCACAAGUUUUUGGGCUCCGGGGGGAGUAUGGUCGCAAGGCUGAAACUUAAAGGAAUUGACGGAAGGGCACACCAGAAGUGGAACCUGCGGUUUAAUUUGACUCAACACGGGAAAACUCACAAGGCCCGGACAUA
Molecule: ribosomal RNA, 1244 nt
Filed under: uncultured soil eukaryote
Lineage: Eukaryota
Description: SSU rRNA
Rfam family: Eukaryotic small subunit ribosomal RNA
Source: RNAcentral